This 460-nucleotide ribosomal RNA is filed under the name uncultured bacterium. RNAcentral describes it as "partial 16S ribosomal RNA". It matches the Rfam family "Bacterial small subunit ribosomal RNA", at positions 338 to 795 of the family's 1533-position model. The record is from RNAcentral.
CCUACGGGAGGCAGCAGUGAGGAAUAUUGGUCAAUGGACGAGAGUCUGAACCAGCCAAGUAGCGUGAAGGAUGACUGCCCUAUGGGUUGUAAACUUCUUUUAUAUGGGAAUAAAAUGUUCCACGUGUGGGAUUUUGUAUGUACCAUAUGAAUAAGGAUCGGCUAACUCCGUGCCAGCAGCCGCGGUAAUACGGAGGAUCCGAGCGUUAUCCGGAUUUAUUGGGUUUAAAGGGAGCGUAGGUGGAUUGUUAAGUCAGUUGUGAAAGUUUGCGGCUCAACCGUAGAAUUGCAGUUGAAACUGGCAGUCUUGAGUACAGUAGAGGUGAGCGGAAUUCGUGGUGUAGCGGUGAAAUGCUUAGAUAUCACGAAGAACGCCGAUUGCGAAGGCAGUUCACUGGACUGCAACUGACACUGAGGCUCGAAAGUGUGGGUAUCAAACAGGAUUAGAUACCCUUGUAGUC